RNAcentral lists this non-coding RNA (23 nucleotides) under Cricetulus griseus (Chinese hamster). Lineage: Eukaryota; Metazoa; Chordata; Mammalia; Rodentia; Cricetidae. The record is from RNAcentral.
UCCAGAAUUGGGGAGAAAGUGGA